UAGUUGAUCAUGGCUCAGAACGAACGCUGGCGGCAUGCCUACCACAUGCAAGUCGAACGAAGCCUUCGGGCUUAGUGGCGCACGGGUGCGUAACGCGUGGGAAUCUGCCCUUAGGUACGGAAUAACUCAGGGAAACUUGAGCUAAUACCGUAUAAUGACUCCGGUCCAAAGAUUUAUCGCCUGAGGAUGAGCCCGCGUCGGAUUAGCUAGUUGGUGAGGUAAAAGCUCACCAAGGCGACGAUCCGUAGCUGGUCUGAGAGGAUGAUCAGCCACACUGGGACUGAGACACGGCCCAGACUCCUACGGGAGGCAGCAGUGGGGAAUAUUGGACAAUGGGCGAAAGCCUGAUCCAGCAAUGCCGCGUGAGUGAUGAAGGCCUUAGGGUCGUAAAGCUCUUUUA
RNAcentral lists this ribosomal RNA (400 nucleotides) under Sphingomonas sp. Ellin426. RNAcentral's name for it is "bacterial SSU rRNA". It matches the Rfam family "Bacterial small subunit ribosomal RNA", at positions 9 to 438 of the family's 1533-position model. The record is from RNAcentral. Lineage: Bacteria; Pseudomonadati; Pseudomonadota; Alphaproteobacteria; Sphingomonadales; Sphingomonadaceae.